Molecule: long non-coding RNA, 598 nt
Organism: Ornithodoros turicata
Lineage: Eukaryota; Metazoa; Arthropoda; Arachnida; Ixodida; Argasidae
Exons: 3
Source: RefSeq, a predicted model, not a curated record
UGCGUUGGGGGAGCCGGGUCGAGCCGUAACACGCGGGCAAGCAGUACCUGCUCGAAAAGGAGGACACAAGUUGCAGUGCAGGCCGCGACUUUUACUUGGUGUGUUAGUGUGUGCCUGUGUUGACAUCAACCAAGGAACUUCUCUGACACUAUUCGUUAGAAAAGAACGACGCGCACUGCAAAGCAGCUAGCAAGAAGGUGUGCAGAAAAAGGAAAACCAGGUGCUGAAGUGUCAGCUGGACACCUCGGAGAACACAAUCAGUAUGUGUUGUGGAUGCAGCAGACAACUGUAGCAACAUGUAGUGCCUUUGAAUUUUCCUCACAGGUGCAGCCAGGAUUGCAAACACAUUGCGGAGCUCUCCUGCCUAAAGUCCAGCGAAGGAGCAGGAGGUUUCAUUUCGUGUGACAAGGUCUGGGUGAAGCAGAUUCCGGAGGUGAUUAACCAGAUGAGGCUUAGUUAAGGAUCCUGACCAUUUCACUCAGAUUCACUCCAAACAAGAGCUCCUAAUUGUAUACCCCAGGAGCAACAAGAGAGGUCAUGUCUCAACGUGCACCUCAGAACCGGAAAGCGGAUUCAGCAGGGCAGCACAGGACAAGAU